AAGAGAGUGAAGGGGGUUUUGGGUCGUGGUCAUUUCUGUAAACCCAAGACCCAGUUGGUAGGGUCAUGGGAGGGGUCUCUGCUACUUUAAUUUACUUUGUCCUUUUCACCCUCUCUCUCUCUCUCUCUCUCUCUCUCUCUCUCUCUCUCUCAAGUCUCAGCCUUUUUAUCCCAUCAUCUCUCGUACCACCCAUUUCAUUUUUCUCAUUCACCAUAAUCACACACACACCGCUCCUCUGUUUCUCUCUGUCUUCUCUGCUUAGUUUAGAAGUAGCCUGAGGUUUCUUGGGUCAACUUGGUUCUGUGAAAUAGAGGCAAAAAACAAAGAUGAAAAGAGAAGAGGAAGCUAAUUUGUUUUUGAGGGGAAUGUUGUCUGGCUCGAGGCCCCUAACUAGAUCCAUGAUCUUCAUCUCAAUUGAUGUCAAUUUUAAUCAACAAUAUAGACUCAGUUGAGACAGAUCAUUUGGUUCUACAUUUAGUGACGUCGGACCAGGCUUCAUUCCCCCCAAUUAUUGCUUCCAAUCACACAGAUCUUCACUUACCCAUGUUAGAUUUUUGCCUUGAUCAUCCAAAGAAAGAAAUUUUGUACAUGGGUUGUUGGGCAGGCAGAUGCAGAUUGGUGUAAUGAUGAAGGGUGACUGUUCUUCUCUUUUCACCUUUUAUCUCUGACGGAAGUGGGGAAAAGAUCUUCAUCAUUACUCUUUUUAUUUUUAUUUAUCUUCUAAAUUUCACGAAUAUCAGCAGCAUAUAUGCAGGGUUGCAUUUUCUUUGUCAGGCUUCCCCCACGCCCUUCUUUCAGGUUCAUAUCAUUGGGCUGGUUUUUUUCAUGAUGGCUUUCAAGAAUCUUCUCUGUCCACUUCUGCUCUUUCUAAUCCCACACUUCACUUUUAAUUGCCUUCUUUUACCUACCACAACCCUAUUUUCACUUGUGCAUUAUAGCACCAUAGCCUAUAUAGGGUUUCCAUUUUCCACACUAGGUCUCUCUCUCUCUCUCUCUCUCUCCCCCCCUCUUAAAUAUUAACCUUGUUCUAUUUUCUUAAAUACAUUCACUGUUAAUUUUCCUCAUUUUUUCCCUUCUGAUUAUUAUUUACAUUAUACAUGAAUUCUGGUUAUUUCUCUGCAGAUUUACAUGCCUGCAGAACAAGUGCUUGAUGAUCUUUUGUAUUUUUUCCUUUAUGUUCAAUUUACUUCUUUUGUUGUUAGUGUUAGUUGGUGGAGCCAGCUUUGGAGCUGUGUAUUGUAUUGUAAUCUCCGUCACUCUGGAUCUGUGAUAAUUCAGAUGAUUAGUUUGGUUGGAUUGUAAAGGAUUUGUGGAUCUAAGUUCUUUUAUAAAGAUCAUAUUUAUUCUUUAUUAUGCUAUUAAUUUCUUUGAGA
This is a long non-coding RNA of Prunus dulcis (almond), 1373 nucleotides long. RefSeq lists it as uncharacterized. Lineage: Eukaryota; Viridiplantae; Streptophyta; Magnoliopsida; Rosales; Rosaceae. The transcript is spliced from 2 exons. The record is from RefSeq and is a predicted model, not a curated record.